This 4432-nucleotide long non-coding RNA is filed under the name Ficedula albicollis (Collared flycatcher). RNAcentral's name for it is "lncRNA (ENSFALG00000026782.1)". The record is from RNAcentral. Lineage: Eukaryota; Metazoa; Chordata; Aves; Passeriformes; Muscicapidae.
AGAGCCCCGGUGUGAGGGAGUGCGGGACCGCGGGGAGCAGAGCCCCGGUGUGAGGGAGUGCGGGACCGCGGGGAGCAGAGCCCCGGUGUGAGGGAGUGCGGGACCGCGGGGAGCAGAGCCCCGGUGUGAGGGAGUGCGGGACCGCGGGGAGCAGAGCCCCGGUGCGAGGGAGUGCGGGACCGCGUCUGCAGAGCCCCGGUGUGAGGGAGUGCGGGACCGCGGGGAGCAGAGCCCCGGUGCGAGGGAGUGCGGAACCGCGGGCUGCCGAGCCCCGCUGCUUGCGGGCCGUCCUCCCAUCCCUGCUGCUCCACGGGCCCCGCGCCGCCUGCUCUUACAGCUCCCCGUGCUUCUGCCCUGCUGCCGAGGCUGCUUUCUGUGGUUAUCCCGUCAUAGCCAAGCAGGGUGGGUUAGAAUCACAGAAAUGUGGGAUGGUUGGUACUGGAAGGGACUUUAAAGCCCAUCCAGUCCCACCCCCUGCCAUGUGCAGGACACCUCCCACUAUCGCAAGGAGCUCCAAUGUCCAACCUGGCCUUGGACGCUGCCAGGGAUGGGGCAGCCGCUGCUUCUCUGGGCACCCUGUGCCAGGCCUCGAAGAGAAGAAUUUGUUGCUAAUAUCGCAUUUAAAUGCAUCCUUUGUAGGUUAAUGGCAGUGGGGAGCGAGGAGAGUAAAGCUGGACCCAGCCUGUCCGUGUGGUGACUGCCCAAAGGCUGCUUUGGGAGCAGAGGGUUCAUCAGCUGCUUUCGAGGAGCAAGGCUGUGCUUGGCUGUAGCCAAAAUAAACCAGCUCACCAGCUGCCCUACGGCCAGUGAUGUCUGGAUAUGUAACAUAAACAUUGCUUUGGAGGUCCUGCAGUAACGGUGGUGUUAGGUGCAGUUCAAACAUGUUAUAUUGUGGAGUUUUUAUCGUUUCUGUCUUUCUCUGGUUUUACCUCUUUUUUUUUUUUUUUAAUGCUUCAAAAAGCAGUGCCUCCUCUAGAGAGUCUGGGAUUUGCUUUGCAAUUGGGGUGUCCUCAUAAUAUUGGUCCUGGGGUGUUAUCCCUAAAAAAAACCCCUGGGAUUAGCUACUUUGUGCUUCAGUUUGUUCAUUUUAGAGACAAUAGUAAUUAACUUGCAGGGAUAUUGUGGAGGCAGGUUAAAGCAUAUGUUGCCAGGGAACAGCUUGGUCAUUACAGACUGAAAUAAAAUAGAAGGCAAGUAGAAAUGCAAAAAUGCAAAGUCGUUGUUUUAUGAGUUUUUGAGUUGAAUCUUUGAGGUAGUAGGAGCACUUUAAACAGAAUGCUCUGGGUAAUGUAUUUUAGAGGCAAGAAAAAGCUCACUAAAGUUCACUGGUUGGAUAUUGCAGUUCUGGAGGCCAGAACAGAAAUGCUUGAGGCAGAAUAACGUGGAUUUUCUGUGCUAAGUUACAUAUGGAAUUUGGCUUAUCUUUGUACAGAGGUUGUUUUGUUAAAACAAAAAUAUCAUACUGCUAACUGUGGAAUAUUGGCUCUGUCUGUAUAUUUUGCACGUUUUAUCACCAAGCAGUGUAUUUAAUGCAUCUGAGGCUUGGGCUGUGCUGGGCAGCUGCUUGUCAGAGGCUGGUUUACUGGGGGGAAAUUUGUACUGGGAUACAGCUUGGACCUUUGGCCAACAGUUUAUUCCUGGAGGCACCUGCUCGUGCUCCCUCUCUGGAUGCUGGGUGGGUGGAUGGAUGCUUCAGUCACCUAAGGCAGCUCCAAUCUUGGGCACAUUUUGAAUUAAUAACCUUUUAAAAUCCCAAGUGUGCUUGGGUUGUUGGUUGUGUUUAAAGGGGGAAAUUAUUCAAGCAAAUUUGGUUUCAAAAUAACUUCAGAAUUUAGGAUAUUGGUUGAUGCUGCAGGUUUUGUUCUUGUGACAAGAAAAGCUGUAGGAACCUCAGUUCUGUGUGUUAUUAGUAAGAUACUUCUGCUUCAGAGCCCUCACAUCUGUCUUGGGUUGGUUUUGUUUGGGUUUUCCCUCAUUUAUCUGCUUUGUUCAUGGGGAGGUUUCUGGGCUCUGAGGUUUGUGCCAGUAUUUUCUCGUUCCUCACAACACACAGAGUUAGUUACUGACAUGUCUGUGAAGCAGCUCUUUGUUCUGCAAACAACCCCGAGUCACAGAGGCUGCUCCGGAUGGCCCAGCCCAGGGACAGCACCAGCAGAGCUCCAAUCCUGGCCCCCACACCGGGACACAGCUUUGGGAGGGGGCUGCAUCUCCAGGGCAUCCGUGGGGAGAUGGAAGCAGAGACCUGGAGCUGGGGAGAGCAGGGGGAAGGAGGGGACAGGAGCAGCCAGGCACCAUGGAUUACAUUCAUCCUGAUUCUGCUGGCAGCUGGGAAAAGGCUGAAGUAAGGUGGUUGUGGAGCUUUCCCUUCUUUUCCUGGAAAUGCAAUCAAAGCCAGGGCACUCCUUCAGGCUUGGAUUGAUUCAGCAAGGCUGUACCAUGCCCCAUUUUCAGUUUCCAUGCAGGCACCUCCCUCCUAAACCUGAAUGAAACGUGACUGUCUGUGCCUGGGCUUGGAGGGCACGGUGUCCUUUUGGAGGAGUUUUUUCAGGGACUGAACCUUUGCAGGUGCCUUGAACGUUGCCACUUGCCCUCCCAGAGAUAACCAGUCAGCUGAGUGCCAGGCUGAGCUGCCAGGCUGGCUCCAAGGAAAGAUAAAGUCCAGUUAAUGCCAAGCUGGAUUGGUUCUGCCUCUUGGCAAGGACAGUUUGACCAGGAAAGCACCAUGGAGGAGGCAGCAUCUCCUGCCAGCUCUCAGGAGGAGUUCAGAGCACUCACCUGGGGGCAAAGGACAAGGAGCUCUUGGGCAGGGCAUGGUUCAUUUUAGCAAGGAAACACUGCAGCCUCGGGAUUCUUAUCUGCUGAGCUUUCCUGUGUCUUGAGCUCGAUAAGACUUUUGAAAGCUCAUAUUUGCAUUUAAAUGCACAGGUGGUAAGAGGUAGUGUGUGUUGUCAGGUGGGAAGAAAUCUCCUAGUGACCCACCAGGUGUGAAGUGCAAAUGGAACUCUGGUUUAGUUCAAGCCUUACUUCUCUGUUCAAGGUUUGUGAGAGCUCAGAGCAUGAUUUUACCUAAAGCUGUUAAAUUUGUUUCCUUUAAAGGGAAAAUACACACUUCAGUGUUUGUAUUUUGACUGAUGUAGUGGGCAGUGAUCUGUCACUGAGAGUUGGAAAUGCUGAUUUUGGUUCUAGUUCUCUACCUGACUUGCCAGUUUUUUAAACGGAUCAUUCUUAAUGUUUUCUCAGCUUCUUUCCAUUUUCUCAGCUGGAAAUGGGGAUUAACUAGGCUUUGAAAAUGUCUCACCUGGCAGGCAGGGAUGUAAGUGUUAAGAAGAUGACUUAAAACCGAGUUUCAGUUUCUCUGUUGAGAUCAAUUUUAUUAGAUACACUAUGAAUUCAUAGUAGGAAUUUCUUGUGCUUUCUAAAGGUUACAGUAUAUUGAAAUGCUCCCAAAAUUGGUGAGGGAGCUCUUCCCCUUCAGGCAAAACAGGUGGAUUUUGAAAUUCUCAGAUGGAUAUAUCUUAAUUUCUGAUUGUGAAUUUGAAAAUGCUUUUAAAAAUCUUCACCUCAGCUGCUAAUGAUAUAUUGGUGCUUACAGUUGUUUGAAUGAAUACAUUUUACUAGGGAAAUACAGUAUUUUUAACAGUCAUGAAAACACUAGAGGUUUUGUAUAAUCAUAGGUCAUUGUUUCCCAAAAGGUCUGAGCCUCUCACUGGUGUUGGUGCACCCAAAGCUGAGUGAUAUUUGAAUCUUAGGCUGGGGCUGUUCUCUCAGCUAAUUAGCAAAAGUUGUUUUAUACCUUGAAAGGAGUUACUUUGAUAAGACAGGGUUAAUAAUUUUUAAUUCUGUAGUUUGAUUUAACACAGAAGGAGCCAACAUAUUGGGGCAGAGGUGAGUGUGAUUUAAGUGUUGAGAGGGAUUUAACAUCAUGUGAAUCAGAGUGAGGGCAGCUGGCAGGUGUAGUAAGGAAUGGAAACACACUGAAAAGGUUUCCCAGUUCAACUUCUCCUUUUUUUUCUCCCCUAAAGUUUUCUGCUUCCUGUUUAGGUGCUGGAUGUUUGACAGUGUACCCACUGUCAGUUUUCCCACAGCUUCUUUAAGGAAUAAAAUUAGUGUUAUCUGAUAGUGUGGGGUUUAUUUUAGAAAUGGGAUGUUUUCUACUCUACGUUGCCUUAGUUUCAUUUACAGUCAUUUAGAAUUGCUUUAGAUAGCAGAGGUAUCUCCUGGACAAGAGCAAGAAAAAGCUGCUUUUGGAAGAUGCUCUUUAAAGUCACCUUUGAAUAUUUAACCCAUUUCCUUUUGAAAAGGUGUCCAGUAAAGUGACAACCUGGAAGAAUGACAGAUCUUUCCCCUAAGCCUGUCUACAGCAAAAGGCUGUUUAAAGGGAUCUGGGGAUUUGGGCUCCAGGCAGGACCUGGUUGGGCAGAUUCUUGUGGAA